This 24-nucleotide microRNA is filed under the name Drosophila melanogaster (fruit fly). Its description in RNAcentral is "piRNA piR-dme-20912222". The record is from RNAcentral. Lineage: Eukaryota; Metazoa; Arthropoda; Insecta; Diptera; Drosophilidae.
UCAGGUACCUGAAGUAGUGCGCGG